UACGGAGGAUCCGAGCGUUAUCCGGAUUUAUUGGGUUUAAAGGGAGCGUAGGCGGACUAUUAAGUCAGCUGUGAAAGUUUGCGGCUCAACCGUAAAAUUGCAGUUGAUACUGGUCGUCUUGAGUGCAGUAGAGGUAGGCGGAAUUCGUGGUGUAGCGGUGAAAUGCUUAGAUAUCACGAAGAACUCCGAUUGCGAAGGCAGCUUACUGGACUGUAACUGACGCUGAUGCUCGAAAGUGUGGGUAUCAAACAGGAUUAGAUACCCUGGUAGUCCACACAGUAAACGAUGAAUACUCGCUGUUUGCGAUAUACGGCAAGCGGCCAAGCGAAAGCAUUAAGUAUCCCACCUGGGGAGUACGCCGGCAACGGUGAAACUCAAAGGAAUUGACGGGG
RNAcentral lists this ribosomal RNA (392 nucleotides) under uncultured bacterium. RNAcentral's name for it is "partial 16S ribosomal RNA". It matches the Rfam family "Bacterial small subunit ribosomal RNA", at positions 524 to 918 of the family's 1533-position model. The record is from RNAcentral.